This 21-nucleotide microRNA is filed under the name Oryza sativa (Asian cultivated rice). RNAcentral's name for it is "osa-miR810b.2". Its record names the gene osa-miR810b.2. Lineage: Eukaryota; Viridiplantae; Streptophyta; Magnoliopsida; Poales; Poaceae. The record is from miRBase by way of RNAcentral. RNAcentral also lists the same sequence under 1 other name.
AAGUGAUUUAAUUAUGCCGUU